AUUUAAAGAAGAGCCAUUGGAGGAGGCAGAAGAGUUGGGGUUCAGAACAAUGGGCUUUGGAUGGACAGAAGGACAGGAACGAUUAACAACAGAACCACAUAGAGAUGGAUUACCAGAGACAGCUGAAGGGGAAAUGGUGUUGAAGAAACCCCCAACUGGNCAGCUCACCUUGCAGGUUGUUAUGGGAAACAUUGAAGGAUACAAGGUAGGAAAGAUUUGUCAGCUCCUU
This 229-nucleotide unclassified non-coding RNA is filed under the name Hevea brasiliensis (rubber tree). The record is from RNAcentral. Lineage: Eukaryota; Viridiplantae; Streptophyta; Magnoliopsida; Malpighiales; Euphorbiaceae.